This 71-nucleotide transfer RNA is filed under the name Ictidomys tridecemlineatus (thirteen-lined ground squirrel). Its description in RNAcentral is "Spermophilus tridecemlineatus (thirteen-lined ground squirrel) tRNA". It matches the Rfam family "tRNA". From Rfam's summary of the family: Transfer RNA (tRNA) molecules are approximately 80 nucleotides in length. Their secondary structure includes four short double-helical elements and three loops (D, anti-codon, and T loops). Further hydrogen bonds mediate the characteristic L-shaped molecular structure. tRNAs have two regions of fundamental functional importance: the anti-codon, which is responsible for specific mRNA codon recognition, and the 3' end, to which the tRNAs corresponding amino acid is attached (by aminoacyl-tRNA synthetases). tRNAs cope with the degeneracy of the genetic code in two manners: having more than one tRNA (with a specific anti-codon) for a particular amino acid; and 'wobble' base-pairing, i.e. permitting non-standard base-pairing at the 3rd anti-codon position. Lineage: Eukaryota; Metazoa; Chordata; Mammalia; Rodentia; Sciuridae. The record is from Rfam by way of RNAcentral.
GGGAUGGUGGCUCAGUGGUAGAGCAUUUGCCUCACACGUGUGAGGUACUGGAUUCAAUUCUCAGCAUCCCA